GACGAACGCUGGCGGCGUGCCUAAUACAUGCCAGUAGAACGCGCAGUUUAUACCGUAGCUUGCUACACCAUAAACUGUGAGUUGCGAACGGGUGAGUAACGCGUAGGUAACCUGCCUGGUAGCGGGGGAUAACUAUUGGAAACGAUAGCUAAUACCGCAUAAUAUUGAUUAUUGCAUGAUAAUUGAUUGAAAGAUGCUAUUGCAUCACUACCAGAUGGACCUGCGUUGUAUUAGCUAGUAGGUGAGGUAACGGCUCACCUAGGCGACGAUACAUAGCCGACCUGAGAGGGUGAUCGGCCACACUGGGACUGAGACACGGCCCAGACUCCUACGGGAGGCAGCAGUAGGGAAGCUUCGGCAAUGGACGAAAGUCUGACCGGGCAACGCCGCGGGAGUGAAGAAGGGUUUCGGAUCGUAAAGCUCUGUUGUAAGAGAAGAACGGGGGUGAGAGUGGAAAGUUCACACUGUGACGGUAUCUUACCGGAAAGGGACGGCUAACUACGUG
This 505-nucleotide ribosomal RNA is filed under the name uncultured bacterium. RNAcentral's name for it is "partial 16S ribosomal RNA". It matches the Rfam family "Bacterial small subunit ribosomal RNA", at positions 28 to 507 of the family's 1533-position model. The record is from RNAcentral.